This is a long non-coding RNA of Nematostella vectensis (starlet sea anemone), 1214 nucleotides long. RefSeq lists it as uncharacterized. Lineage: Eukaryota; Metazoa; Cnidaria; Anthozoa; Actiniaria; Edwardsiidae. The transcript has 2 exons. The record is from RefSeq and is a predicted model, not a curated record.
UGCUAAACACGGGGGAGUCACCGCCGUCCUGUGGGGUCAGCGGUGUCUGAGAGGAGUACGCGAAUGCAGACACCUGUCAAUCAAAUCAUGCUUAUUCAAAUGCACGACUUCACACAAUGACAUGACCUCUGUUCGCAGGAAAUCUAUUGCAUGUUCACGUGACCAUGGAAUUGACCGAAGUGUACAGCUGGUGCAAACUGCGCAAGCGCAAGGCAACAUUGCUGGCGCCGCCUCGCUCGGUUGGACACAAGACAAAGACAAUAUUGGCGAAGCACCUCAGAGCAGUUUGCGACGUGGUGUGCAACAGCACAUUGUUGGGCCGAUGGGCGGUUUUUCUAACCAAGAUGGCACAGUACUAACCAAGAUGGCACAGUACUAGCCAAGAUGGUACAGUACUAACCAAGAUGGUACAGUACUAACCAAGAUGGCACAGUACUAACCAAGAUGGUACAGUACUAACCAAGACGGUACAGUACUAACCAAGAUGGUACAGUACUAACCAAGAUGGCACAGUACUAACCAAGAUGGUACAGUACUAACCAAGAUGGUACAGUACUAACCAAGAUGGUACAGUACUAACCAAGAUGGUACAGUACUAACCAAGAUGGCACAGUACUAACCAAGAUGGCACAGUACUAACCAAGACGGCACAGUACUAACCAAGAUGGUACAGUACUAACCAAGACGGCACAGUACUAACCAAGAUGGCACAGUACUAACCAAGAUGGCACAGUACUAACCAAGAUGGCACAGUACUAACCAAGAUGGCACAGUACUAACCAAGACGCCACAGUACUAACCAAGAUGGUACAGUACUAACCAAGAUGGUACAGUACUAACCAAGAUGGCACAGUACUAACAAAGACGGCACAGUACUAACCAAGAUGGCACAGUACUAACCAAGAUGGUACAGUACCAAGGGUGUUGAGCGUAUCACGUCAGGCUCAUUUGGGCUAUAACUACUCCUAGUUCUAACCCUGGGAGCACUUAUUCGACUAGCGUCAAUCAAACAUGGCACUUUUGCUACAAACAGGGCCAAAGACCAGAAAAAUCUGGUGCUAGUUCUAAAAGAAUCAGUGUUCUGAAUAGGAGGACAAUUUUUAUCUAUUACAUCUAUUAGUAGAAUAUAGUAAUGUCCCAAAUACUUUUGAUCGUGAAACUGCUACCCUCCCCUAUUAAAAAAAUUGUCGUUUACCGUCGGCAUACUUCGAUGG